This is a non-coding RNA of Phrynosoma platyrhinos (Desert horned lizard), 72 nucleotides long. Lineage: Eukaryota; Metazoa; Chordata; Lepidosauria; Squamata; Phrynosomatidae. The record is from the annotation of a GenBank genome assembly.
GCCAGUGUGGCGUCAUGGUUUGGGUGCUGGACUAUGACUCUGGAGACCAGGGCUCGAAUCCCUGCUUUACUA